RNAcentral lists this ribosomal RNA (393 nucleotides) under uncultured bacterium. RNAcentral's name for it is "partial 16S ribosomal RNA". It matches the Rfam family "Bacterial small subunit ribosomal RNA", at positions 523 to 918 of the family's 1533-position model. The record is from RNAcentral.
AUACGGAGGAUCCGAGCGUUAUCCGGAUUUAUUGGGUUUAAAGGGUGCGCAGGCGGGAGAUUAAGUCGGCGGUGAAAUUUUGCAGCUCAACUGUAAAAGUGCCUUCGAAACUGGUUUCCUUGAGUGUAGAUGAAGUAGGCGGAAUUUGUGGUGUAGCGGUGAAAUGCAUAGAUAUCACGAGGAACUCCGAUUGCGCAGGCAGCUUACUAAACUACUACUGACGCUCAGGCACGAAGGCGUGGGGAUCAAACAGGAUUAGAUACCCAGGUAGUCCACGCAGUAAACGAUGAUUACUAGCUGUUUGCGAUACAAUGUAAGCGGCUGAGCGAAAGCGUUAAGUAAUCCGCCUGGGGAGUACGUUCGCAAGAAUGAAACUCAAAUGAAUUGACGGGG